GCCACCGUCUGCCGGGUCCAUGGCAGCGGACUUAAAAUCCGCCAAGUGUCGGUUCGAGUCCGACUGGGGGCA
RNAcentral lists this transfer RNA (72 nucleotides) under Mycolicibacterium goodii. RNAcentral's name for it is "Mycobacterium goodii tRNA-Leu". It matches the Rfam family "tRNA". Rfam says of the family: Transfer RNA (tRNA) molecules are approximately 80 nucleotides in length. The record is from RNAcentral. Lineage: Bacteria; Bacillati; Actinomycetota; Actinomycetes; Mycobacteriales; Mycobacteriaceae.